GAUACCAGCUGGCUGCAACUGUUUAUUAAAAACACAGCACUGUGCAAACACGAAAGUGGACGUAUACGGUGUGACGCCUGCCCGGUGCUGGAAGGUUAAUUGAUGGGGUUAUCCGUAAGGAGAAGCUCUUGAUCGAAGCCCCAGUAAACGGCGGCCGUAACUAUAACGGUCCUAAGGUAGCGAAAUUCCUUGUCGGGUAAGUUCCGACCUGCACGAAUGGCGUAAUGAUGGCCAGGCUGUCUCCACCCGAGACUCAGUGAAAUUGAACUCGCUGUGAAGAUGCAGUGUACCCGCGGCAAGACGGAAAGACCCCGUGAACCUUUACUAUAGCUUGACACUGAACAUUGAGCCUUGAUGUGUAGGAUAGGUGGGAGGCUUUGAAGCGUGGACGCCAGUCUGCGUGGAGCCAACCUUGAAAUACCACCCUUUAAUGUUUGAUGUUCUAACGUUGCCCCAUUAUCUGGGGUGCGGACAGUGUCUGGUGGGUAGUUUGACUGGGGCGGUCUCCUCCCAAAGAGUAACGGAGGAGCACGAAGGUUGGCUAAGCAUGGUCGGACAUCAUGCGGUUAGUGCAAAGGCAUAAGCCAGCUUGACUGCGAGAGUGACGGCUCGAGCAGGUACGAAAGUAGGUCUUAGUGAUCCGGUGGUUCUGAAUGGAAGGGCCAUCGCUCAACGGAUAAAAGGUACUCCGGGGAUAACAGGCUGAUACCGCCCAAGAGUUCAUAUCGACGGCGGUGUUUGGCACCUCGAUGUCGGCUCAUCACAUCCUGGGGCUGAAGUAGGUCCCAAGGGUACGGCUGUUCGCCGUUUAAAGUGGUACGCGAGCUGGGUUUAGAACGUCGUGAGACAGUUCGGUCCCUAUCUGCCGUGGGCGUUGGAAGAUUGAAAGGGGCUGCUCCUAGUACGAGAGGACCGGAGUGGACGCACCACUGGUGUUCGGGUUGUCAUGCCAAUGGCAUU
This 960-nucleotide ribosomal RNA is filed under the name Providencia rettgeri. RNAcentral describes it as "partial 23S ribosomal RNA". It matches the Rfam family "Bacterial large subunit ribosomal RNA", at positions 1782 to 2739 of the family's 2925-position model. Lineage: Bacteria; Pseudomonadati; Pseudomonadota; Gammaproteobacteria; Enterobacterales; Morganellaceae. The record is from RNAcentral.